RNAcentral lists this long non-coding RNA (1136 nucleotides) under Hordeum vulgare. Its description in RNAcentral is "long non-coding RNA (HVUL_LNC002666)". Lineage: Eukaryota; Viridiplantae; Streptophyta; Magnoliopsida; Poales; Poaceae. The record is from RNAcentral.
UUUUGGACCAGAUGCACCUCGUGAUGUAAAUUUCCACCGCGAGGUGUUGCGUUUUACAUCACGAGGAGGCCGCGGUCCAAUUUUUUUUACAUAUGGACCGUCUGCUGGAGAAGCGUUUUUUUGCCUCUGACGGUCCAAAGUUAGGUAUUUUUACAUUUGGACCGCCUAUUGGAGAUGCUCUAGUAGGAUGGCGAGACGUCACUUGUAUUGUAGGAGAACACCGAACCUCAAGCCUUCUACUUUCUUGUUUACUCCAAUAUCUCAUACACUAUUAAAUAUAGAUAAAUAUAUGCAUGCAUCAACUUCUUAAAUUUCAAUGCAUGACAGUAGAAAUGAGAACAGGUUCAAUGUGAAGAUGCACUUAGUAUUUAUACUUCUAGGAUUACAAUUACUGCUACAUGUCAUAUGAUUUAGAUGAACCUAACUAACUUCAUCAUGCAGAUCAGGACGGUUAUAUAUAGCUAGAAAAGUCAUACAAAUUAUAUGUUCAGACGAUUAGCCGACGGGCGCAUUCCAUGCUUGAUAGAUAUUUCCAAAUGGAAUUAACCACGUGUUAUUCUGUGGAAGAUAGUUAACAGACUCUUUGUAUGCAUUCGAAUUGUUGCGCCCACUCUCGUGUACAAAUGAACAUGGAGUUGAGCAGCAACUCAAAGACAGUGUCUUAGAUGGCAAAAUUGGCCGAAAAAGAAUCACUAUUGAUGCGUUUGGUUGCCUACAUAAGGCCCAUUCAGGACCGCAGUAAAAAUAAUCAGGCUAUUUUAUUAACCUGCAUACACUGUUUGACCUGCACGAUACCAACUUUAUAGCACUCCUAGCUAGGCCGGUGACCUACGCUCGGAACGUGAGUUUAUCCAGAGUCUGGCUCGUGCGAGGCAGAGGAGGAAAACGCGGUGCAAAGAUCGUGCGACCACGGAGAUGGCACGAGCUCCCGCGCAUUUUUGAAAAAUUGGCGGGAGAAUUUUGGCUCACCUCCCGUCGAUUCGGUCACCCUAUUUAGCCCCCAUCCUCUCACUGCCCAGAGCCCCGCCACCCUUCUCCCCCUUUCAAGCUUUCCCGCCGACGCGCGCCGGCACCAACGACCAAGUAAGCGUAGCUCCUUCACCGGCCCACGGUCUACGACCGUGGCAAUUCCUCUC